GCGGCCCGGCCCUCGCCCGGGAGUGCGUGUGUGCGCGCGUGUGUAUGUGUGUGUGUGUGUGCGUGUGCGCGAGUGUGUGUGCGGGGUGCGCGCGCGGGCGGGAGUGGGCGCGCGCGGGGAAAGGCCCGAAAAUACCUUAGUUUGCACCGAGAGACCAUUUGCAGCGGAACCCGAAAGUUUGCAAGAGGAAGAGAGCGCGCGGCGAACAAGCGGGCAAGGGGCAGCGGCAGCGGCGCCGCCAGGGACCAUGGUGCUGCCGGCGCCUCCUCCGCGGGCGUGAAGGCGGCGCUCCCACUCUCCCCUCGGACUCCGCGGUGUCCCAGGAGCUUCUGCUGACAAUUCCAGUUUCCACACGCAACAUUUGGGCAAUGGUGAGGGCUUCGGUCCCUUCUUUGGUUUGCUGUCAACCAUGAAUGGAUGGAUUUGAUGCCUGCUGGCCAAAAGGGUGAUUGGAAAUGAGCUCCUCUCCAUGAUUUCCGUCCAACACAGCUCACACAAGGCAUUGAACCUGAGGGAGUCCAAGGAAGUUUGCAUCAGAUUCAAAUGUUCCAUAGGCUUGGUUGCUAAGACCUUGUCUUCCACAUUAAAAGCAGCAUAUCAGGAAGGACUUCUGACCGGUAAAAGGAUCAUCUUUUCACCUCUGCAUAUGCAUAGAUGCCACUUCCUCCUCUUCCCUGUCCCUGUCCCUCUCCUUCACAUGUGGCGAAAACGAGGACUACUUUGUGCUGAAACACAUAUUAGGGUUUUGUUCCAAUUUUGGCCCUACCCAUUUAACUCCAUUCUUUUCAGUGGUUCCCCUUUAAUCAGCAAAUAACUAGGUUAUGUCUUGAGUUACAUAGAGGCCUUCAAUGGGCAUGCUAUCAAUACCGGUAUUUUCUUAUUGAUACUUAUUUUCUUUUUUCUUUUUUCUUUUUUUUUUUUGUCAUCUUGCCAUUUCUAGGGCCGCAACCGUGUCCUCUGGAGGUUCCCAGGCUAGGGGUCCAAUUGGAGCUGUUGCUGCUGGCCUAAACCACAGCCACAGCAACGUGGGAUCCAUGCCGCGUCUGCAGCCUACACCACAGCUCACGGCAACUCCGGAUCCCUAACCCACUGAGCAAGGCCAGGGAUUGAACCCGCAACCUCAUGGUUCCUAGUCGAUUUGUUAACCACUGAGCCAUGACGGGAACUCUGAUACUUAUUUUCUUAUACUAGGUCAACAGUCUGUCUCUCAAUUUGGAGCAUAAAACCAAAAUCUGAGCCUUACCAACACCUAGUUUACAGGAACACUUAACACCAUUUUGUUUGUUCCUUUGAUCAUCUUAUCUUCCUUGUAGAGUUUACCACUCUUAUGCCCUUUUUAAAGCAAGUCUUCUAUGAUAGUGAAUUCUCCUUUUUUCCCCUGCAAAUGAAGGAUAUUCACAAAAUGGGUAAGUGGUGCCUUUUGGUGCAGAUCCAGCUGAAAGCCUUUGCCUUUGGUGAGUCACCUGAAGCCAGCUCUUCUCCUCAUGUCACUUCACCCUUGUAGUGUCAGUCAGCGUGGCCACCUUAUAAUUUGAUGAGGCAGUUUCCUGAUGUUAUUAUCUUUUGUAAUUUUCAUGCUGAUGCCCCUGACCUGGGGUUACAGAAACUCUGAAAAAUAUCCAGCCAUCCUGGAAAUACACACUUAUCGAUUAUUUUACACAUUAUGAUACUCCCAUCUAAAUCUGUUUAUCACCAGAGCAGUGGUCCCCAAUGCCUGGGGUCUUAGAAUUCCAGGGCAUUAGGAAAUAUAAUCCUAGAGUUUUUCAGGAUUUAUGUUAGGAGGACUUGGGUGGUAAGCAACAGAAAGUCCAGUUCCGGCAGCUUCAGCAGUGUCACU
Molecule: long non-coding RNA, 1837 nt
Filed under: Sus scrofa (pig)
Lineage: Eukaryota; Metazoa; Chordata; Mammalia; Artiodactyla; Suidae
Description: lncRNA (ENSSSCG00040040707.1)
Source: RNAcentral